GAUGAACGCUGGCGGCGUGCCUAAUACAUGCAAGUCGAGCGAACAGACGAGGAGCUUGCUCCUCUGACGUUAGCGGCGGACGGGUGAGUAACACGUGGAUAACCUACCUAUAAGACUGGGAUAACUUCGGGAAACCGGAGCUAAUACCGGAUAAUAUAUUGAACCGCAUGGUUCAAUAGUGAAAGACGGUUUUGCUUUCACUUAUAGAUGGAUCCGCGCCGCAUUAGCUAGUUGGUAAGGUAACGGCUUACCAAGGCGACGAUGCGUAGCCGACCUGAGAGGGUGAUCGGCCACACUGGAACUGAGACACGGUCCAGACGACUACGGGAGGCAGCAGUAGGGAAUCUUCCGCAAUGGGCGAAAGACUGACGGAGCAACGCCGCGUGAGUGAUGAAGGUCUUCGGAUCGUAAAACUCUGUUAUUAGGGAAGAACAAAUGUGGAAGUAACUAUGCACGUCUUGACGGUACCUAAUCAGAAAGCCACGGCUAACUACGUG
RNAcentral lists this ribosomal RNA (497 nucleotides) under uncultured bacterium. RNAcentral's name for it is "partial 16S ribosomal RNA". It matches the Rfam family "Bacterial small subunit ribosomal RNA", at positions 28 to 507 of the family's 1533-position model. The record is from RNAcentral.